This is a long non-coding RNA of Ostrea edulis (European flat oyster), 900 nucleotides long. RefSeq lists it as uncharacterized. The transcript is spliced from 2 exons. The record is from RefSeq and is a predicted model, not a curated record. Lineage: Eukaryota; Metazoa; Mollusca; Bivalvia; Ostreida; Ostreidae.
ACAGUUUAUUUUAUGAUGAUGUUUGGUAGGUCAGAGAGCAGCUUUUGAGAGUGAUCGCGCUUUGUUUAUACUCUUUCAGAAGAUUUAUUCAUCAUUAAUUCCAAAAGAAAUACCAUUAGAGCCCGGCCAACUUUCCCGAUUUGUGUGGGAUUCUCCCGAUUUGAAGCAGUUGAAAAGGCAUAUCCCGAUCGGGAUUGCAAAAAUACCCCGAAAUCCCGAUUUUCUAAAAAUAUCUCCCAUUUUACGACAACAAACCCCCAUUUCCAACCGGAAUUUGAAAUCCUGCGUCAUUUCUGAACUGGCCAAUCAGAAAUCGGGACAAUAGUCAGCCAUUGUUGUUUACCUUGUGUUGCAUGGAAUCGGCUGGUGUAAUUUACAUGGUCUGCCUGUGUCGGGGUGCUUUAUUGGACAGUGCGAAGCAUGUUUUGAUAGUAAUCAAUCGGGAAGACGGAUUUCAAUUUGACAUAUCCUUUACACAAACGUGAAUGACAACGAUGAUAGGCCUAGUGUCGCCACCAAACAAUCGGACAUUCCCGAAUUUUGCCUCUCGCUGACAGCACCCAAAAUAUGCAAUAAAAUGUCAUGGGUGCAAAGGUUUUGUUCGCAAACUUCAUAGCAGGGCAGAUCACUCCUUUUCUGGUUGCAAUGCAGAUUGUUCCACCAGACUCUGCAAGCCCAUGUUUACAGACAAGCAAGAUCGCCUUUGAAGUCGUACCUAAAUGCAUGUGCUUUAAUUAAAAUUUUGAUAUAUAGACCAGCCAAUAUUUAUAUGGUGUAAAAGGAUGCAACUUUAAGUAUUAUUUGAUAAUAUGUAUAUAUGUAUGUGACUUGUUGUUGGAGAGGAUUUUUUUGCACAGAAUAUAGAUGAUUUUAAUAAAAUAUUUAUGUAUAUCUUUCAAA